CUGCGCGAAGGACAAAAUUUUUCUUGUGUGAGAGUAAGUAAAAUUGGAGGCCAGCAACAAGAGAGCUAUGGCACUCCCACAUGGCUCCGCGCAAGUGACUAGAGCAUCACACAAGUGUCUCUAGAAGAGGUACUCGAGUGUCAGGCCUACAUUAUUUUUUUAUGA
This 165-nucleotide ribosomal RNA is filed under the name Triticum aestivum (bread wheat). Its description in RNAcentral is "partial small subunit ribosomal RNA". The record is from RNAcentral. Lineage: Eukaryota; Viridiplantae; Streptophyta; Magnoliopsida; Poales; Poaceae.